Molecule: transfer RNA, 82 nt
Filed under: Hypoxylon rubiginosum
Lineage: Eukaryota; Fungi; Ascomycota; Sordariomycetes; Xylariales; Hypoxylaceae
Description: tRNA-Arg
Rfam family: tRNA
About the family: Transfer RNA (tRNA) molecules are approximately 80 nucleotides in length. Their secondary structure includes four short double-helical elements and three loops (D, anti-codon, and T loops).
Source: RNAcentral
GACUGCUUGGCGAAACGGAAUCGCGUCACCUUCCGGCAUAGGAGCUUGGUGAAGAUUGCGGGUUCGAUUCCCGUAGCAGUCA